Molecule: ribosomal RNA, 433 nt
Filed under: uncultured bacterium
Lineage: Bacteria
Description: partial 16S ribosomal RNA
Rfam family: Bacterial small subunit ribosomal RNA
Source: RNAcentral
AACGAACGCUGGCGGCAUGCCUAACACAUGCAAGUCGAACGAGACCUUCGGGUCUAGUGGCGCACGGGUGCGUAACGCGUGGGAACCUGCCCUUAGGUUCGGUAUAACUCCCCGAAAGGGGUGCUAAUACCGGAUAAUGUCUUCGGACCAAAGAUUUAUCGCCUUUGGAUGGGCCCGCGUUGGAUUAGCUAGUUGGUAGGGUAAAAGCCUACCAAGGCGACGAUCCAUAGCUGGUCUGAGAGGAUGAUCAGCCACACUGGGACUGAGACACGGCCCAGACUCCUACGGGAGGCAGCAGUGGGGAAUAUUGGACAAUGGGCGAAAGCCUGAUCCAGCAAUGCCGCGUGAGUGAUGAAGGCCUUAGGGUUGUAAAGCUCUUUUACCCGGGAUGAUAAUGGCAGUACCGGGAGAAUAAGCUCCGGCUAACUCCGUG